AUGGCCAGUGAGGUGGUAACUGCUAGGCCUAACCAUUGCUGUUGUUGAAGGAUUUGCGGGUCAUUAUAUUUUGCAAACCAGGAAGCAUAUGGAGCCUCAGGGAAAACAAGUUUUUCAAAGUCUACUGAAAUCUGCCCCCAGUGAUGGCUAUUACAGAGGUGUCUGAACCCAAAGUGACAAAAUGAGAAGCAGAGGUGCAAGUCCUCCUGCCAAUAAAGAAAGAAUAAGAGAUGCUCAUAAACAAAUUACUCUGUUAAAUCACAUCACUCAGAUAAAGGAGAAUGUUCUUACAUAGCAGCCUAAAUCUAUGAAGCUAAACAUUUACUAGAAGAUCAAGGUAAAAAA
RNAcentral lists this long non-coding RNA (345 nucleotides) under Homo sapiens (human). RNAcentral's name for it is "non-protein coding lnc-IL5RA-9:1". The record is from RNAcentral. Lineage: Eukaryota; Metazoa; Chordata; Mammalia; Primates; Hominidae.